GACGAACGCUGGCGGCGUGCUUAACACAUGCAAGUCGAACGGAAAGGCCUGCAGCUUGCUGCGGGUACUCGAGUGGCGAACGGGUGAGUAACACGUGGGUGAUCUGCCUUGCACUCGGGAUAAGCUUGGGAAACUGGGUCUAAUACCGGAUAGGACAGCUGUUUAGUGUCAGUUGUGGAAAGUUUUUUCGGUGCAAGAUGAGCUCGCGGCCUAUCAGCUUGUUGGUGGGGUAAUGGCCUACCAAGGCGUCGACGGGUAGCCGGCCUGAGAGGGUGUACGGCCACAUUGGGGCUGAGAUACGGCCCAGACUCCUACGGGAGGCAGCAGUGGGGAAUAUUGCACAAUGGGCGGAAGCCUGAUGCAGCGACGCCGCGUGGGGGAUGAAGGCCUUCGGGUUGUAAACUCCUUUCGACAGGGACGAAGCUUUUGUGACGGUACCUGUAUAAGAAGCACCGGCUAACUACGUG
Molecule: ribosomal RNA, 467 nt
Filed under: uncultured bacterium
Lineage: Bacteria
Description: partial 16S ribosomal RNA
Rfam family: Bacterial small subunit ribosomal RNA
Source: RNAcentral